Long non-coding RNA from Pteropus alecto (black flying fox), 2303 nucleotides. RefSeq lists it as uncharacterized. Lineage: Eukaryota; Metazoa; Chordata; Mammalia; Chiroptera; Pteropodidae. The transcript is spliced from 3 exons. The record is from RefSeq and is a predicted model, not a curated record.
ACCUGGGAAAGUAGAUAACUGCAAUUGGCGGUGUUUGGGGUCUGAAGGCAUAUGCAGGGGGAGAUGGGAGGAGGACCCACGAUGAUUCCCAGGCGGCUAAUUUUGGUGAGUUGGCAGGUGAUGGGUCUACUGAUGACAAUGAGUCAUACAGGAGGAAAAGCAGGUUGUCCAAGGGAAGAGGGAAGGUGACAUAUAGGGUCCUCCCAGAUGUUUGAGAAUUAGUGAGUUCAGAGCAGCAUGUGCUGAGUAGGAGUGUGUGGAGGACGGCCAUGUGGGCUGUCCACAGUCAGCAGGUGGCAGCAAUGGCUGGAGUCCUCAGCCCCAAGAAGGUGGUGGGAGCCACUGGAGUGGAUGAGGCAGCUUUGGGAGAGUGUACUGAGUGAGAAGAGAAGAGGGUAUAAGCAGAAGUCUGGGGAGCACUGGCAUUUUAGGAAGCAGCCAAUAAAGAGUUGCCUGUGGAGGAGAAAGAACAGCCAGGGACAGAGAAACCAGGUCAGGGGGCGAGGGGUGGUGGUGUUGGAGGAUGUCAUGAAAAAGCCAUCCAGGAGACCCACCUACAGAGAGGCCAGUUGAGGUCCCUGGUGACUUUUGCCACAGUAAUUCAGCAGAGGGGUGGGGACAGAAGCAGACUGCACCUUUUCAGAAAGCUUGCAAGGGAGGGAGAAAGGCAGAGCAGAGGGCAGAGGGAUCAGAGCUAAAGAAGAGUUUACUUUUUCCAGGAGUCAGAAAGAGAUGCUUAGACAAAAGGGAAGGAACCAGUAGACUGCCAUUUGUGCUCUCUAUGUCCCCCCAGUCCUCAGCCCAGGUAUUUCUGACUCUUGUCAUCGUCUUCAACAUGUUCUUCUGGCUCAGACUGACUCUUCCCUCAACCUCAACUUGAAGAGAAGAUCCUGGUCUUUCUGCUUCCUGCCUGUUUUCCCUAUUAAUGGGUGUGGAGUUAAUGGGGGUUGGAUUCUCUCUGGAGACCAGCCCUCACUGCCAGGCUCCCUUCCGAAUGCAGCAGACCAAAGGCAGUACAGGCACUGGUACCCCUUUCCCCCCAGUUAACCAUCAAAACUACUGUUCCCAAAAGCGAGUAAACUUUUGGUUCUUGGGAACAAGAUAAGUUGGCCUGUGGAGCCAAAGUGUUUCCCAUUUACUUUACUCAGGAGGGGUAGAAAAGUGAAUUGAUGCCCCCCUGGGAUUAGCCCUCAACCAAUAACUGAUGGAAGUUAGGGGAUGAAUCUUCCAGCCUCCUCACCCUUCGGAUGAGAUAACCGUGAGGCCUAUGUCCUCCUCUUUCCCAGAGGUCCCCAGCAGGAUUAAACUCAGUUGCCCAUGGAGGUAACUUGCUCCAUUACAUAUUCUUUAUCAACUUCUUUCCCUUCUCUGUCUCAUUUCCCAUCUCCAUGCUGCUGUUUCUUGGGAUCGCCUCCCAAAUAAACAACUUGCAUGCAAAUCCACGUCUCAGACUUGCCUUUUAGAAGAGCCCAAACUAAGAUAUCUCCUGUUUGAACAGACAGCAGUCUAAUUUCCUGCAGAAUUCUCCCAUCCUUACUCUAACCACUCACACCUCCUCACAGAGCUUGUUCUCUCAUUGACUGUUGAUUGGCCCAGGGAUGGGAUUGGCCCCAAAUUGAGCUCAUCGGUUAUACUUGCCUUGCUCAAUUGAUUGGCCCAAUGUGACAAUGUAAUCCAUGCUGAUCUCCUAAGUGUCCUUCCCCGAGACUUUUGAACAUAGGACAAGGAGACUAUCCAUUAGAUGAUAAAUACAGUGAGUAAUGAGGCUCUAGACCGGCUGGCUGAUGGCCUGCUGUUUGGAAAUACUGCUCUGCUGGAUGAGAAAAAUGAUUCUAGGACAUUCAGAAAAGGAAGCAGAAACGAGACGGGAGCCAGUGAGUGCUCGGAAAGCAUUUGUGUCUUGGGCUCCAUUUAUCUUCGAAGCCCACUGACUUGUUUUCCUUCCUGCAUGCAGAUCUGGAAAUUUCCUGUGAAGACAUGAUUGAGAGCUGCACUUGAAAAACUGGAAGUUCUGGCAAAAUGGAGCCCAUAUCAAUAGCUGGAGUGACGAAUAGCUGCCCCUUUCGAUGGGGCAUCCACUCUCCAGUUUGCCGCAGAUCCCACCGGGCCCCUUCACUCAUAUAUGUUACUUGCCUGGCCCUUAGUCAUUUGAGAUUGUAAUCCUGGACAUUUUCAACCAACCUUCCCAACAGCCCUGCAAGGUGAGUGCCCUUAGCCCCAUUUUACAGAUGAUGAAACAGAGUCAAAGGUGAAGUGAUCUGUCCCAGGUCACACAGUUAGGGAAUAAUGGAGCUGGGUUGUAA